UAAAACUCUUAUGAUUCAGGGCUCCUCUGUCCAUUCCCUUCACCGUCUUCUUGAAGAACUGGGUUCUUGCCUGUCUCUGAACAAUGUCUUGCAACACUGAUCCCUGCCCUGAAGGGCGCCCGUCGCCGUGCGAGGUGAAAUGUCCACAACCUAUUGUGACCAGCACCAAUGAGGCAUGCGUUGUGUCCUGUGGAGACUCCCGAGUGAUUAUAUACCCACCACCUGUCAUUGUGACCUUCCCAGGACCCAUCCUCAGCACCUGUCCUCAGGAAAGCUUGGUGGGGGCGGCUGUUCCCUGCGAGUCAGGGGUGUCUCAGUCAGCAACGACGGUGCCCUUGACGUCCGAAAUUGGGGGGAACUCGGGGUUCUCUGUGCCUUUGAGGUCCGAAAUUGGGGGGAACUCAGGGUUUUCUGUGCCUUUGAGGUCCGAAAUCAUGGGGAAUUCAGGGUGCUCUGCUGAGAGAUUGUAUCUGAACCGCGAACCCGAGCAACCUUCCACCUACACGUACUCCUUUACUUCCCAAUGGAGACAUCCUUGCAAUAGACCAGGUUGGAAUAGAUAUCGGUCCUUUUACAUGAAGAAGGAAGAGCCAGAGGAGGAGGAAAAACCAAAGGAGUGGCACGUAGGCACAGAGGAGUCCUCGUGAGCAUAGCUUGCACUAGGUUUGAACAUCUACAGCUCUAAAGGCAGCCAGAGCUGUAGGUAUUCAACACCUCCUGACAGCAGGUUUAGGUUUAUCUCUCUCAGGUUACACUUCACUUUAGAUUUAGGCUCUUUCCCCCAAGGGCUUCCCAGAAAUGUGAUUAAACAGUCAUUAACACUGCAAGACUGAUUCAUUGAAUCACAGAAUCAUAGAAAAUGAGGGCUGGAAGGGACCUCAGGAGGUCACAUCUAGUCCAAACCCCUGCUUAAAGCAAGAGCAGCCCCAAAACAGGACCAUCCCCAUCCCCAUCCCCCUGCUCAAAGCAGGACCAUCCCACAUGCAGCACAUACUAGCAGAAAAUCUGGAACAUACAUGACCUAACGCUCGUUGACACUAAUCUGCAUCAUUUGUGGCCAGAUCGGGUGAAAAUUGUCACUUCUGUCUGCACCCUAAGGUCUGUGUGUAUCAUCCUUCAGGGUAACAAAGGCAGGCACUAUAAGAUUUAUGCGUAUGUCUUGAGCCGUAUAAAUGGGCCUUGAUUUCACAGAGCGUUUGGCACGCUGUAUGUUCUCCUUUUCCCCAUGUUUCUGUACAAUUUGUGUCUGGCUUUUAGUUAUGCUACACAAGAUGUGCAGUGGAGAAGCUGUCCAGUCCUCUGCUUACAUUUUGCUUUGUCAAAAGGAAAACUGUUGUGUGAAACACAUAACUAUGAAGUGAGGGAAUGCUUGUAGCUUGAAUGGAAAUAUGUCCUUUAUCUUUUGCAUUCUCCCUUUUUAAAAUGUUAUGCUUUACCUCUCCUUCCCAUUAAAACUUAUGCAGCAAAAUAA
Long non-coding RNA from Alligator mississippiensis (American alligator), 1471 nucleotides. RefSeq lists it as uncharacterized. The transcript is spliced from 2 exons. The record is from RefSeq and is a predicted model, not a curated record. NCBI's taxonomy places the organism in Eukaryota, Metazoa, Chordata, Crocodylia, Alligatoridae.